CUCUUUUUUAUUUUAAAGUCAAAGAACUAUUAUUAUAUCACAUUGUUAUAGUGGAUAAAAUUUAGUAAUCAUACGAUACGAUGAAAUAAAUGGUGUGAUAGAUAUAAUUAACUAGACAUGACAUGAUUUAUUCAUGUUUGCAGGAGUGGAGAAAGUAAGUUUAGAAGAAGAAAAGAACUUGCUGACAGUGAUAGGAGAGGGAAUAGAUGCAGUGGAGCUGGUUAAUAUAAUUAGGAAAAAAGUGGGAUUUGCUAAAAUAGUGAACCAAGGUCCAGAGCCAGUUGAGAAAAAAGAAGAAAAGAAAAAAGAUGAUCCAAUAGUGGUUAAUUCAUGUAAUUGUCAUAGUAAUUAUAAUAAUAGCAUAAUUCCUAGGGUUGAAAUGUGGGAAGUUAAUCCUUAUAAUAACUACUCAUGUUUUCCAUUUUGAUGAUGAGACUUCUUUGAGGAAAAAUAAGAAGAAUUAUCAUAUUCUUUUUGUUUCAUUUCAUGUAAUACAAUAUUAUUAUUUGGAGAGUCAAACAAAUUUUCUGUUCAUGGUGUUUCAUUAUCUCAUUAGAAUUAAUUAAUAUGAUAAGGAUUAGUUUCUUUUGUUUGUACUUAUUCAUGUUGAGAAUUUGUAUUUUUAUUAUUAAGGAAAGGUUGUAGUUUAAUUAGUGGUAAGAAAAUAACAACUUAUACUUCCUCCAUCCCAAUUUAUAAGUUAUCAGAAAAAAAGAAAAAACUUUUGAAAUUUAAAUAGUCUCAAACAAGUCAUUAAUGUUUGAAAAGUGUCAUCUCUAGAAUGGACUGAAAAGAAAGUGACAUAUAAUUAAGAUUAAAAAAUAUACCUUUUAUAUAAUUUCUAAAUACAUAAAUUUUACUUUAAAAUAAUCUUAAAAUUUGAUGUUUAAAUUCACACCAAAAAUAAAUUUGUUCAUUGCUCUGAAUUGCAUCACAUAAAUAUAUUAAAGUGGAAGGGGCGGAGUAGUAUAUUAUAUCAUUAAUAAAUUUGUAUCGGCUUUGUACGAUCAUAAAAAGUAUAUAAUUUUGAUGACUUGAGAAACUCUGUGGAUGGAUAAGAGUACACAGAUAUUUUUGUUUUGUUAGACAAUUUUAUGGUGUGGGAGUUGCACUUCCAAAAUCCUAAUAAUUAAAAAUUGUUAAUAUUAUUCUUUUUAAAUUAAAAAUAAAGAUAAUAGUGACAUAUAAAAUAUAAAAUGAAAAUGAGAAAAGUAUUAGUCUUCUCUAGGAGAGUCAUGUCAAUUUUGUGUUAACAUAUGACAAAUUAUAUAAUUAUUAUUUAGCCUACGAGUCAUCUUUGAAUUAUUCAAACGGGGUCUUAAUUUUAGGACCAUUAGAUAUUUAUUUAGGAAGUCUCAUAAGUAGAAAGAUAAUAUACUUUUUCCGUUUAUUUUUAAUUAAAAAUAUAUAUUUAUUUUUACUUAUUUGGUUUAAAAAAUCAAAAUGUAAUUUACUAUUUUAUACUUAUUUUAUCUUUGUUAUUAUGUACUCCUAUUAGGUAUAUGGCAAAGUCGAAUUGUAACUUUUUUUCACAUCAAUAAUUAAUGAAGACAAAGUUUAAUGGGAAAAAAAGUAUAUCCGUUCACAUUUAAAUGACGUACAACAUGAACGGAGGGAAUAUUUGAUAAGGAAAAGAAGAAGAAAACCUAAUUAAUACGUAAAAUUUUGUGUUUGAAAACUUCCCUUUUUUGUUUACUUUUCAAAAAAUCAUGGUUACUAAUCUUCAGGUAAAUUUCCAAGUAUUUAUAAUCCAAUCUUUCAGUAAAAUUACCAUGAAAUUAUUGACUUGACUUUACAAUUAAUAUAUGUGAGAAAGUAGUUUUACAAUCUUGAUUCGACGUAAUUUAUGAUUUUGUCUACACAAUUUUAGAAUUUUGUGGAAGAAGAAGAACUUAAGCAUCCAAAAAAAAAGAGAUCAAAUUGACACUCAUCACCAGGUAUGUAAUAGGAAAAAUUACAAAAGUAUACUACUUAAGACUUCUAUUAACAAAAUAUCAAUAUACUAUAUUUAAUUACAAACUAAGUUUUUAAAUUACAUACAUAACAAAACAUUUAAUUUUUUAUUUUACUUAAAAAAAAAAUUACCGAAUUUUCUCUCUCUGACUCUUAGUAGUUUGUGUCAUAUUAUGUGGAGUGUAAUUAGGUAUUUAAUUUUACCAUAUAUUCUCUCUCAUUAAACAGACUCACAUCCACAUGUUUGUUUAUUCCUCUUUUAUUUCCUUUUUUAUGUUUUGUAGUAAUUUAUUGGGAUUUCUUUUAUAUAAAGAUUUGUGGUAGCAAUAAAGUUGUUACAGUACUAUAAUUGAGGUAUAGUUCCAAGAAAUAUUACAAAACCCUUUUCACACGUUUCAUUAUUUUUUUAUUUUCCUUUUUACGUUUUGUAGUCAUUUUCUCUGUCCAUAUUGAUUUAUUCCUUUUAUUUAAAGAUUUUUAUGAUACCAAUAAAAUUAGUACAAUUAUCUAUAAUUGAGUUAUUUCCAAGAUAUAUUAGGAUUCCUUUUUUCAACGGUAUAUUGAGAUAAUCCUUCAAUUUUAUUCAUCCAUAUCUCUUAAACCUUACAUCUUCUUCACUUAAUCGCUUGUCAUUCCAAUUAACCAGAGGCCUCACCAUAAUUUCUAACGCCUAACUAUCCAUCUUCUUCUUAUCAGAUUCUAACGCCUAACAAAUUUUUUACUUGAACAGAAUAUGUUAAUUCUGGUAAUAGUCCAAACCAAAAUAUUAACUUUUUAUAGUUUUUUUUACAAUUCACCGUUAUAGGUUGGUAUAUAAUUCAAACUAUUUGAAUUACUUUAUACAACCAUUAUUAUGUCAAUUGGUUUUAGUAUUACUCAAAUAUUAUACCAAAUCUAUUUUAUUUGUGCUUAUUUGUUUUCAUUCAAUGUUUUAGUUUGCUAUAUAUACCAUUAAGUUUACCAAGUUUUGUGUAGUUUUUAUUAUAAGAAAACCAUUUUUUUUACAUUAACAGAGUGAGUUUUUUUUCUGGUAUCAUUCAAACCAUGAUUUUAACUUUAAGUAGUUUUUUCAAAUUUAUUGUCUUAGGUUGCUAUAUAAUGCAAACAUAUGAUCCCUACAUACGACCAUUAUUAUGUUCCUAUAUGUUUACCAAUUUUCGUUCCUAUUUUAUCCUAAGUUCACCAAAUUUUUCCUUUAACAGAUUGUAUUUAUUAUGGUUCCAGAUUAAACCAAUGUAUUAACACACAUCAUUUUUUCAAUAGUCCUAUAUUUUUCAAAUAAUUGGUUUAAUCAACUUUUUACAUUAACAUAGUCUAUUAUUUCUGGUAACCAAGUUCUUCACAUUAACUAGUUUUGAAUUAUUUUUAUUUUAGGCUGGAAUUAUACCAACCUCACUUGCUCAUUCACAACACGAUUAUUAAAUGAGUUCAUGAUAGCCAUUAAUAACAAUUACGAAUUCAAUAAUAUUAAUAAGAUACCAAAUAGGAAUCAACUUUCAAAUAAGGCUUCAUUGAGUUCAACUGUAUAAUCAAAUAAAUGAGUUCAACCGCAUAACUUUCUGCAAAGUAAAAAUAACAAUAAAAAUACUAUAACGCUAAUUCUUAUGUGAUUUGUUUGGGCAAGUCUUCUUGUUAUGCCCAGAUAAAUCGCAUUCACUAGAGGUGACUUUUCUUUUCUUCCCCUUUCUUUCGAUGAAUUCCUUUUUGCGAUCAUUUUUUGGUGGUCUGCUUAGUUGCUUUCUUGCAAUUGGUGGUAACAUUACCUCUUUCAAAACAUGUGAUGGAACAUCCCAAGUGCUUUCGCAAGGCAAGGGUUCUAUUGAUAUUGCAUAUAUAUCCUGAUAAUCCUUAUUAUUGUAAUAAGCUGAAUAGUAGUCAUCGCAAUAUUUAUUCCUAUAUCUGAUAGCAGCAAUUGCAUGACUACAAGGGAUCUCAUCAUGUUGAAAUCUGCCACAACGGCACAUACCAAUAUUCAGACAUACUGUAAACCUCUUUGCACCAUCUAUAAAUGUAUGAAGGUAUUCUAUUGAUGAGCAUACCUUAAAUUUAAAACAUACAUUAUCAAUAAUAAUACCAAAACAUACUAUGUAUAAUAUAGUAUUGUUAAUACUUACUAUGUAUUGAAUUACAAACUCUUAAUAAUUUGCUUACUACAUCCAUAUAUUUAAACAUCUUGGUAGUUACAUUGGUAAUUGAUGACACACAACUAAGUUUUGUUUUUGAUACACUCUAGUAAGUAACUAACUUUUUCACCAAUUACUGUACUAAUAAUAAAUUGGCAUACUUGUGGUAAUUCACACUAACAGGUAUACCAAAUAAUUUAUUAUACCAAUAAACAUAUCAUAAGUAUUCUGACCUUUAAGGUAUUACAAUUUAGACCAAAAAAUACAUCAACACAUACCACCAAUUCAUAGAAUCAACUAUUCGAGCAUAAAUACCAGAUCACAUACCAAUCAACAUAUUAUCAAUUUUUCAAUUUAUUAUAUACACCAAUUCAUAAAAUACACCAAAAAUGUAUCAAUAUAUUAUCAAUUUUUCAAUUUAUUAUAUAUACCAGUUUAGUUAAUUAAAAUACACCAAAAAUGUACCAAUAUAUUAUCAAUUUUUCAAUUUAUUAUAUACACCAAUUCAGAUAAUCAAAAUAAACCAAAUAAUGUACCAAAAUAUUAUUUUAUUGUUGUAUUUUAUAUAGCAAAUAAUACAACAAAAUACACAUAUACAUGCACCUACAAUCUUACUUGCAGUUGGUAUGUGUAACACCAUAUCACAUAUCAAAAGUAACUAUUGAUACAAUCUGUUAACAUACUCCAUUCAACAGACCAAUUAAAACACAUAAUUUAUGAUGUUAUUUUAAGUUGUUGCAUUAAUCAAUUAAACCUAAAAUUUUAAAAAAAAAUCUUAUUCGACACAUCAGAUUACAAUAAAAAUCAUAUGAAGUUAUUGUAAUUACACCAAAAUCGUUAACAUAAAACAGCGAAUCAAUACCAAAAGAAUAAAAACCCAGUUGUUGUGAAAAACUCAAUAUUAUUCCACAAACAAUUGAUAAAUUUUAAUAUUUAUUUAAUAAUUAAACCAGCAUAUUGAUGCUCCAGAACAUCAAACAAAUCAUAUGAAUUUACAUUCCACCAAAAUCGACAAAAUAAACCAAAAGAAUAACUACAAAAAAGAUUAAAAUCGAUAUGUUGUGAAAAAAUCAAAUACAACCACGAAAAAACCCACCAUAUGAACUACUUUUUAUCAAUUACCUGAUGAGUCUCAUCGCCCGCUGUGUUGAAUUAGAAUUAAAAAAUUAUUGGUAUGCAUUUUGGAUCGUCGAACUUAGUAGAGAAGAAGAGUUUUAUUUUUGUAUGAAACCUCUCUUCAUGGGAGAUAAUAUAACAAAUUGGAGUAAAUCAAGGAAAGUAAAAUAAUUGGAGAAAUUUAAGGGAUACGUGAUAUUUGUGGUUGACUUGGUAAACGUUUUAAAAAAUAAAAUUCUAGUUUUGAAAAAAAAUAUUGUUAUAUAAUUGAAAAAAAAGUAUUGCUAUAUUGAUGUAAUUAAGACUUUAAGUUGUAUAUUUAAAUUUUUUUCCCUAUGUAAUAUUUAGAGUUAUCGCAACCUUAGUCAUACAUCAUAGAAUAAAAAAUAUUCGCGCUGUUACCUAUCAAUAUUUAUAAUUUAAACCCUUAAAUGAUAUACAGAGACUAGGGGUGUACAUGGCCGAUUGGCCGGGUUGGUUCGAAUUUUUCAAAUAUCAAAUCAAAUCAUUUGUGUCGGAUUUUUAAUUUAUAAACCAAACCAAUAAAAUUCGGUUUUUUCAACCUUGGGUUUUUUUGGAUUUUUUCGGGAUUUUUGGAUGUUUUCGAUAAAGUAUUCAUACAAACAUAUAAUUUACUUGUACUUGAAAUAUUUCUUUAGUCCUACCAAAAUACAACUAUCUAAGGUGUUUCUUAAGAAAAUAACACAAAAUAUGAAGAUGUUUCUUAAAAAUAUAACACAAUAUGAUAUGAUUAAUGACACUAAAAUAUCCAACAAAAAUAAUAAUAAUGAAAUCGCGUAAAACAAAUAUUGCAAAUUAAUAAGUAAUAAUGACAAUGAUCAUAAUUUAAAAGUACUAAAUCAUGCUAAAAUUAAGUUUAAUAAGUAUUAGUUACAUUACUAAAUAUUUAAGGAAAAUUAAAAUUAGAUUAUGUAUUUUAAUUGUCUAAACCAAUGUAAAACUAAAGAACAAAUAUUCAAUUUUAUUGUCAUUCUUAGUGUUGAAUUGAUUUUCUUUUUGCAUUAGUAUUAAUUUGAUUUUGAUUUAAGUUUUAUUAUAAUUACCAACAUCUGUGGACUAUAAUAUUUAAUGGACCAUUUAGAAUUCUAAGUUUUAAACUUGAAAUAAUAUAUUAAAAGAUAAAACUAUGAAAAAGUAUAUAAGAAAUAUUUAAAAAUUAUAUCAAAGUAAAUAUUUUUAUGCAUAAAAUAAAAUUUUUAAAUUAUAUAUAUAAUGUCGGGUUAGUUUGAUCUCAGGUUGGUUUUUUUAGUUAAAACUAAACCAACCCAAAUAUAGUUAGGUUUUUUUUCAAUACCAAACCAAGUCAAACCAAACCACUAGUCAAGUUUUUUUUUUCGAUUCAACUCGAUUUAUAAUUUGAUUUGAUUUUCAAUUUUCGAUUCGAUUUUACACACCCCUAACGGAAACUUUCAUUUGCAUACCAUCUAUAUACAGUGUGUAUUUGUCUAUGAUUGAAAAGAGAAAAUUUUUAACAAGCUAUUGAGAGAGAUGUUAAAAGACCAUGUAAUUAUUUGGUUAAGAAAAUAGAAAUCACUACAUAAAAAAUGAUCUUUAGCGGCAAUUAGUUAGCAAUUGCCGCUAAAUAUUUAAAUUAGGAGAUGAUUUAAAUCUCCAAAGUCUCACUAAGGGAGAGUCCCCAGUAAAGCCUUUAAUUUUCUUCCCAAGUUUUAGCAGCCAAGGAUAGUACCCCAGCUGUUAUAGGAUAACCAUGUCAAUAAGUUCUGAGUUUCAUCAAGUACUGCUCAGCAAGAAAAAGAUGAUUAUCUAUGUGCCAUGAUAAUUUUAUAGUGGCAACAAUGCUCUUUGACAAUUAGAGUGACAAACUUCCAGAAUAGUCUCGUCUUUCUACUUUUUUAGUUACCAUUCUUUUCUGCUUAACUUCUAUUUAAAUGUCGUAUUAUUCAUAUAUUGAUAUAGGAUGCAACAUGAGUUUGAGGUGACUACAAAACAGGCCAUCUUUAUGGAUUCAAGUAUAAGUGAUACAAUUCGUACAUGCAUUGUGCUGGGUAACCAUCGUGCUGCCAUGAAAGUCAAAACAGAAUUUAAGGUCUGUACCGUCUCUUUUGGCUCACAGUGAUGAUGUACUUCUAUUUCUCUGUCUUAUUAGUGAUUUCUGCAUCCUCUUUUAGGUACAUGUGGGUUCAACUUCUAGAUUUAUCCAAUUUAAAGUGCCCUUAAUUUUAAUUUUCUUGGAUGAUUCAAGUAUCUGAAAAGCGAUGGUAUUGGCUUAAAGUUUUUGCUCUGGCAACAAUUAGGGAUUGGGAUGCCUUGGAAAAGUUUUCAAAGGAAAAAAAGCCACCAAUUGGUAAGUCCCCUUAGUAGCUUAACAGGAGGAAAUCACUGACUUUCCCUAAUAUUUCAACAGAAGAUCUGUAAAUGCAUUUCCCCCUGUGAUAUUUGUAAUAUGAUCUGGAUAUUUAUUAAUUUUCUCUUGAUUGAUAUGAUGGAUUGUUUUUAGGAUAUGAAUGUUAAGUUUAAUUCAAGUAGGUUUACUUUGGUUUUGCAUUCCAAGGAGCAGGAUAUUAGAUUGAACAGUUAGAACUUGAAUUAGAAAAUGUUAUAUGCGAUACAUAUUAGGGGUAUGACACCUGAUAUAGGGUUUCUGCAAGUGUGUCUCCCAUAUUAAUAGAGGUUUACUAUAAACCGUAAGGCGUCUACAAAAGUGGCUUUCCCUGCACAACUGCUAUAUGUAAUGCUGCCUCUUUGGAUAUCUGAAAAUUCUUUGCUGCUUUUAACCCCUACUUAAUUUGAUCAGUUCUUGAAGUUGAAAAAGUUAAUCAAUUUCUGAAGUAGCCUUCACUUAGAGUGGCAUUUUAGUUAGUUUGAGCUACACUUCCUCUUUAAUGGCUUGAUAUGCUUUAUUAUGUUUUUUGGUCAAACUAGAUUUUGUUGUAGCCAUGGUGAUCUCGCUUUCUUCUUCUUUUUGUCAACAAGUACAAUGUGAAAUGUAUUUCUGCUUCUUGUGACUGCCACUGAAAGAAGCACCUUGGACUUGUUCAUAGACAUUCCAAGCAAGUCCUUUUUUGACCAUAUACUAUAUGCUAACGAAGGCUAAUGGAUAUCUUAUAGUCAUCCGUUUUUCUCCUGUUUUUUCUCUUCUAGGUUACCGCCCAUUUGUCGAAGCAUGUGUUGAUGCAGAUGAGAAAGGCGAAGCACUAAAGUACAUACCAAAGCUGACUGAUCCUCGUGAAAGAGCAGAGGUUAGUGUUGUAUAUGUUAUGAUAUUUCCACAUUUGGUCUACAGACAUGUUUGACAUGGCAUGUAGUCCCGCAUAGUUUUAAGUUUGAGUUUUGAACUUUACCCACAUGUGGUCACUAUCCCUGCUGAGAUGAUUUUGCUAACAAAUGAAUUUACUAUAGAAAAAGUAGUUACUCCCUUUUCUUUUCACCUAUGCUUGUGAAAAGCUUGGGUACUUAUAUCUUUACUGGCUAGAAAAAAACAUUUAGCCUUAUACCUCUAAAAUAGAACUUGAAUUAGAAAAUGUUAUAUGCGAUACAUAUUAGGGGUAUGACACCUGAUAUAGGGUUUCUGCAAGUGUGUCUCCCAUAUUAAUAGAGGUUUACUAUAAACCGUAAGGCGUCUACAAAAGUGGCUUUCCCUGCACAACUGCUAUAUGUAAUGCUGCCUCUUUGGAUAUCUGAAAAUUCUUUGCUGCUUUUAACCCCUACUUAAUUUGAUCAGUUCUUGAAGUUGAAAAAGUUAAUCAAUUUCUGAAGUAGCCUUCACUUAGAGUGGCAUUUUAGUUAGUUUGAGCUACACUUCCUCUUUAAUGGCUUGAUAUGCUUUAUUAUGUUUUUUGGUCAAACUAGAUUUUGUUGUAGCCAUGGUGAUCUCGCUUUCUUCUUCUUUUUGUCAACAAGUACAAUGUGAAAUGUAUUUCUGCUUCUUGUGACUGCCACUGAAAGAAGCACCUUGGACUUGUUCAUAGACAUUCCAAGCAAGUCCUUUUUUGACCAUAUACUAUAUGCUAACGAAGGCUAAUGGAUAUCUUAUAGUCAUCCGUUUUUCUCCUGUUUUUUCUCUUCUAGGUUACCGCCCAUUUGUCGAAGCAUGUGUUGAUGCAGAUGAGAAAGGCGAAGCACUAAAGUACAUACCAAAGCUGACUGAUCCUCGUGAAAGAGCAGAGGUUAGUGUUGUAUAUGUUAUGAUAUUUCCACAUUUGGUCUACAGACAUGUUUGACAUGGCAUGUAGUCCCGCAUAGUUUUAAGUUUGAGUUUUGAACUUUACCCACAUGUGGUCACUAUCCCUGCUGAGAUGAUUUUGCUAACAAAUGAAUUUACUAUAGAAAAAGUAGUUACUCCCUUUUCUUUUCACCUAUGCUUGUGAAAAGCUUGGGUACUUAUAUCUUUACUGGCUAGAAAAAAACAUUUAGCCUUAUACCUCUAAAAUGCUUUGCAUUAGUCCAAAAUGAUUGCAUUUCCGUUUUGUAGCAAUGUGUUUAAAUGAAAGAAUACCUUUAUUGUUUUGUACAUAAACCCAGAAAGACAUACAAAUCUAUAUUGUACCUUUGUUGGUUCACAGUCAUCUGGCAGUAUUAUGUGACUUGUUCAAAUCCUGACUUGUGAACCAAGCUUGGUAUUUAAGCAUAGGGUAGUAGAGGGACUCACCCUUUAUCGUCCUAGUUUUUUUUAUCUUUGUACAUCGGCUUGGUUUCAAAGUUGGAAACAACAGAGUUCCUGGUUGAAGAUAAAAAAAAAGAAGGUACUUUUGUCUGUUUAUUUCAAUAAGCAAGUACGGCAUAGACUGGAUAUCAGAAGGAUGCAUAUCUUAAGAUAUCCGCAUUCACUUUUUAAUGUAAUAUUCCGGAUCACAGUCUGAUUGAUUUUAAUCCCUGUAGUAUCAUAAGUUCCUUCAUUUUCCACCCUAAAAGGAAGAGAGGAAGAGUAAACUGAUUCUGAAGUGUCAAUAGACGUAGGAUUAAAUAGUCAACUGUAAAGGUGCAUUGCUGUAUCAAUUAAGGUGAUGGGUGUCAUGCUUAUGAGAUCUAUGAAUCAUUAACAGGCUUAUGCUCGAAUCGGAAUGGCCAAGGAGGCUGCUGAUGCUGCUACUCAGGCUAAAGAUAAUGAAUUACUUGGGAGGUUGAAGCAGACUUUUUCUCAAAAUGCAGCCGCUUCAUCAAUAUUUGACACACUGCGAGAUCGGUUAUCCUUCCCAAGUGUUUCUUGAUGCCAGCCAUCUCCUUGAUCCCCUCCCUUUGGUGUGAAGCCUCUUGUUGUUACGCAUCUUCUAAAUUAAUAUGAUUGAGGAUUGGUAGCAUUGGAGUAAUGCUGUUCCACAGCACGAUAAAAGAAGCCCUUGGAACCCGUCCGCUGCAUAUCCUCUCUCCUUACCUGUUUUUUCUAUGUAUCCGUGGCAUUUGAGGUUGUGGAAAUGUUUGAAUCCGGCAAUGAUUCCUUGUGUGUUGUUCUACACCCUGUAAAUAGCUUGGCUGGAAAUGAUAUAUGAAAGCAUGUGCUGAUGUUUCUCCCUGAAUUGGUAACAACUUGCUAUUUAAAGCUAGUAUCAAGUGAUUGAUAGUUUGAUACUGAGUGGACAAUUCAUAUUGUGUUUGUGUAUCUGUACUGAGUGAUUUGAUGAGUAUCUAAUUUCUUUGUUUUAAUUUGUGUUUUUGACGCCUCAAUUCACGUAAAUAUAGUUCAUAGUCCCAGCUUAAUACGAGUUCUUUUUCAAGUUUGCAUAUUAGGUUGGAUUGCAUAUGUGAAGUAGUUUGAAAUAUGUAUGGUGGAAGUACUAUUUGAUGGUUAGUAGUAAUGUUGUGUCAUAGGAAUCAGACACCAAUGCUGAUUAUACAACUGGUUAUCUUAAUUAAUUAUCUAGUAUCCUUUUAUAAUAUAUCAGAAAUAUCUUGGGCAAUUGGAAUACCGAGUAUGAGGAAGUGUAAGAGGUUAGCUAUAGUGAGUUCGAGGAGAAGUAGAGGUAGGUUUAUCUAGUCUUUUUUUGAGCAACUUUCAUAUAUAGCAAACACAAAAAUAAUAUUUGUAUGCUAUAGCUAUAGUUUGCAUAAUUGCACUCCAUAGCAAACAUAAAUAUGUAUAUUUUGCUAUACAUAUACAAAAGAAAGCAGUUGUAUAUAAUAUGUUUUUGUUUCGGUAUAUACAUAUACAAAAGAUCAAUUGUAUAAUUUGUGUUUGUAUAAAGCAAGAAAGAGAGAAAGGCAAAAUAGAAUUGGGCAGGGGAAUAUUUGUAUUGUAUAAUUAUAAGUGUAUAGGAUGAAGAUAUAUGUAUUCGCAUGUGUAUAUACAAUUUUCUCUCGCUUUAUAUAGAUAUAAACGCAAUUUAUACAUUUCUGUUUGUAUAAGCGAGAUCUGGGAGAGGGGGGAAAGGGGAACGAAAAUAUAUGUAUAUAUACAAUUUUCUCUCGCUUUAUACANNNNNNNNNNNNNNNNNNNNNNNNNNNNNNNNNNNNNNNNNNNNNNNNNNNNNNNNNNNNNNNNNNNNNNNNNNNNNNNNNNNNNNNNNNNNNNNNNNNNNNNNNNNNNNNNNNNNNNNNNNNNNNNNNNNNNNNNNNNNNNNNNNNNNNNNNNNNNNNNNNNNNNNNNNNNNNNNNNNNNNNNNNNNNNNNNNNNNNNNNNNNNNNNNNNNNNNNNNNNNNNNNNNNNNNNNNNNNNNNNNNNNNNNNNNNNNNNNNNNNNNNNNNNNNNNNNNNNNNNNNNNNNNNNNNNNNNNNNNNNNNNNNNNNNNNNNNNNNNNNNNNNNNNNNNNNNNNNNNNNNNNNNNNNNNNNNNNNNNNNNNNNNNNNNNNNNNNNNNNNNNNNNNNNNNNNNNNNNNNNNNNNNNNNNNNNNNNNNNNNNNNNNNNNNNNNNNNNNNNNNNNNNNNNNNNNNNNNNNNNNNNNNNNNNNNNNNNNNNNNNNNNNNNNNNNNNNNNNNNNNNNNNNNNNNNNNNNNNNNNNNNNNNNNNNNNNNNGUGCACAAGUAGACACUCAAACUUGUAUAAAAUUGAACAGAUAGACACAUUCGUCCUACAUUGCACACUACAUUAGCAAUUUUACGUCCUACAUGUAUUAUGCCAUGUAGGACACGUGUGUCUACUUGUUCAAUUUUAUACAAGUUUAAGUGUCUACUUGUGCAUACUCAAAGUUGGAGGGCAUAGUUGUCCACUGAAGUCAAGUUAAAAGUCAUGUUUAUGUAUUAUGCGUAUUAUGCCCUAUUUCAUUCUCCGUUGUUUUUAGUAUGAAUUCUAUAUUUGCUUUAUAUGCCUGAUUCUUGAUAUGAUUACUUUCUACUAACGAUUCUAACAAAAAUCUGUUUUUGGGGUGCAAACAAGAGUUUGUUCUCAAAUGAUAUCAGAGGGAUUUGCAUGUAUUGUGGAAAUUCUAUUUUCUCUAUGAUUAAUAUCUUUUCGAAUUUUAAAAAGAUUUUCAAAUCUCAUAAUUUACGAUCAAGUUAUUCAACAUUUUUCUUAGAGAACAAUUUUUCACAUUUAAAUUAUGUAUUAGAUAUACUAAUAUCCUAUUUCGUUCAUCUAAAAAUGUUAAUUUGAAUCGAGGAUUUACCAAAAAUAUCGUCAAACUAAUACACUAGAAAAUGUGAAUUCAUUAAAAAUGAGGGCGUACCACAUUCGUAGGUACCCUAUUCCACUAAUAAUUUCUUCUCCAUUCAACCAACUAAUUAAAGUCGAACCUUUUUAACUAAUUAAGUUUUAUAUUUGGAAGAAGUCAGAGGUUGUCAAUUCUCUAUAUGUCCCCAUGAUUAACAAAAAACAGUUGACUAGUUUGUUGUUUUACCGCCACUUGAAAAGAAAUUGAUAAUGAAGAAACAUAUUAAAAUCCAAGACAACAAUUGGAUAAUAUAAUACUAUAUAUAUUUUGCGUUUCUCCUUACCUAUUUGUUUGUUUUAAAAAAAUAAUGAUACUAAAAAAAUAAUGAUACUAUAUAAAAAAAAUUAGUGUUAUGCUCUUAUGUUAUGUUUAAGAUAACAAGUUAUUAUUUUAUUUUAUUUAAAAAAAAAGAAGAGCAAUAUUUUAUCACUGAAGUCUAUGAUACGUAUUAUUCUUUUUGAAUCCAGGUUCAUACAAAUUUAUCUUUUGAAUUAUGUCAUAGCAGAUUCAAAAACAUGUUUAUCAUGUAAACUUAAGUCAUGAUUUGUAAACUCUUUACCUUCCUCCUAAUUUCUAAUUGGAGAUUUGCUUUUAAAAACAUCUAUAUUCUACACAUAUUUAGAAAUUUGCUAGUCCUGCUUGUCUCGACCUCAUUAACCCGCCUUCCAGGAAAAGCGUCACAUAAUUAAACAUGGCCGCAAAAAUUGAUAUGGUGGGAUUACUACAUGUGAAGGACUUGAAAAGAAACAAAACGUUUACCCACUCAAAGCCAAUAAGGUUAGCCCUUAAGUCAACCUAAUUGAAAGCUCAGCUCUAACUAAUAGGAGUAACAAAAGUUCUAUACGUUUGACUUGCUUGCUCUUUACAAUAAUAACCUACUCCCUCCGUUCACUAUUGUUUGUCAUGAUAAGAUCAUGCACAACUCUUAAGAAAAGUUUAAUAUAAGGUGCAAUUUGACUAAUAUAACCCUACUAUCAAUCAUUAUUAAAAUGGUUUGUACUUUUUGAAAAUUGUAAAAACAACUUUUUUCACAUUAAAGUAGUCUUGUAACUUUAAAAUGACUACUUUUUGAAAUAAGUAGUUAUGUAAUUAUUAAGGGCAAAUUGGAAAAAAGUGACUAAUUGUUUCUUGAUUGUUUAAAUUGACAAUUAAUUUUGGACAACUAUUUUUAGUAUACCUGACAAACAAUAGUGGAUGGAGGGAGUAUCUGUGUAGUUCUAUAAAUAUAAUAACAACAAAAUACUUAGUGAAAUCUCGCCAAAUAGAAUUUGGAAAGAGUAGAGUGUACGCAGAUUUUAUCACCAUCUUGUGUAGGUAGAGAGGUUGUUUCCGAAAGACUUUAGGCUCAAGUGCAUUAAAUUCGAGCAAAAGAAGAAAAAUAAAAUGAAGGAAGUAUAGUUGUUAAUAAGAAAAACAGUGCAAAGUCUACCAGAAAAAAAAAUAAUAAUAACAACAACAAAAUAGUGCAAUACUCGAAACACAAUAACCAACAUAUAUAUGACAAAAAUUAGCUAGUAUUACGGCCGGUGCUAAUUAACAAGCCUAAACCUAUGCACGACAAAACAACACUCCAAUACUACUAACCUUCUAUACCCAGAUGUGGAGCCAAGAUUAAGAGUUUGGGGUUCUAAAUUUUAGAACAGAAGAGAAAGGUGUUCGAACCCACAACAAAUGUGUGGAAAGCAUUUUCACCGACUGUCAAUCAAUUUUGCUAGGGGGUUCACAGGUUAAUACGCAUAUAUAUUUAUUGUUUAAUACAAAUACAAACUUUACGAGAAAUGUAGUGGGUUCGUCCGAACCCACGAAUCCACGCCUAGCUCUGCCUCUGCUUCUACCCUAUUAUGCGACAUUCACUCUUUCCUAUCUAGAAUCAUGUAUAGUUCUAAAAAUAAGGUUAAAAUAGAUCAUGAGAUACACAUCGAUGUUACAUAUACUUUUAUGAAAUUAAGAGGUUGUUUCAAACAAUUUUAAAAAAUAUAUGUCAAAAACAAUGAAAAAAAAAGGAAGAAAGACUUUGCUUGACUCUUUAUUUGUGCUAAUUAAGGAUGAUUAAUUUUUCAUCUAUUUUUUGUUGGAAUAGUCCACAUCCCUUCUAGUAGAAAAAAACACUCAACAACUUUGCAUGUUCAGACACGAUAUUAUUAAAUAAUAAUGGUGAGAAAAUGAUCUCCUUCACAACUGCCACCACAGCAAAAAGUCGUCGUGAACAUGAGAAAACUUAGAAAAAGUAGAGAAGAGUUUCAAAAAAUUAAAUAUACUCUUUAACUUCUUUUUUGGUUUCUCAUAAGUAUAUACAUUAAUUUGAAUCGACAUUGCGUAAGGCUCAUCUAAAGGUGAAACGCUCCCUAAUAAAAGAAAUUUCUUAUUCAAAACUUGAACCCGACAACUCUGAUUAAUGAUAAAAGAUCCUAUACUCCUUAUUUUUCUACAAUUUAAGAGAAGUCAGCAUGGGUGAGACUCUUUACCGCUAGCCAGGAAGGUGUCAUGUUAGAAAAUUUUUGCAUCUUUUAAUUAAUUUCUCAUUUAACUACUGAUUAAUUUGUCCUAAGUACUACUUAAUGAGACAAAUUGUCAUUAGUUAUGCAAUUAAUUGACAAAGUCCUUUUGAUUGUGAUAUACUCAUUUACCUUUAAUGACGUAAUGCCAUGACGGCUGUCUGAAUAUUCGUGGAAACAAAUAAUGUAAGAUUUUCCACUUGAUUUGAGUAUAAAUACAUGACCAAAUUAAUUAAAAUUGUAACCUCACAAGUCACAACCUUAGAAGUGUCGAAGUUUUAAGAAAGAGAGAAACAAUGACGGUACUAUUUGUACUUUUAUUUAUCUUUUCUUUAUAAGAUUAUAAGUAUAUCAAAUGUGCUUACUAGUAAAAAUCAAUCAAAAAUCACAAUUUUGUUACUUUUGGCUUAUGAUUUUACAACUUGCAAGCACUUUUAAUUUGAUAUCAACUCUUCUAAUUAUCUCUCUAUUUUGUUUCGUCCAUAAAAUAUAUUUAAAUUUAUAUUAUUAUUUUUGGAUAGCUUUAAGGAUAUCUUAGUCAUCUUAACAGAUUUAAGUGUUUAUCAACACCUUUUAACAAAACACACUAACAAGUUUAUUACUAUAUCUACAACUAUUCUACACCUUUUUCUAAUCAUGCAACUAUUUAUUUAUAAAAUCGAUUACUAACACCUGAAAAUGCUUUUCAGUGCUACGUUUUUAUGUGAAUCCAUUAUUUUUAAUCUGCUAACCCAAACCAACCAAUGAUUAAUUAGUAUAAUUAUUGAUAAUUUAUAAUUAAAUGCAGAUAAAGGUAGUUGUUGAUGUGUCUGUGAAUGGAUGUCAACCUCGACCAACUUUGAAGAAUUGUAUUUUAGGAUGGUUGAAGCCAAUGGUACCAUGCUUAUUUAAACAAACUUCUUGCAAAAAUAAAGUCAUGACUAUAGCAGCAACUUUACCAGGUACGUAUAACAAUAUUAUAUACUAUAUUACUAGUAUCAAAACCUUUAUACAUACGUAGAUUAUUGUAUAAUAAGUAUACAUAAUUUAUUAUAACAUUGUAUACAUGUUUUGUAAACUAGACAGUCCAAAAAUAUUGGAACAUAUUUUUUUCAUGUGUCACUUAACAUUAGAGAGCUCUUUUUUAUUUUUAAAGUCAAAGAACUAUUAUUAUAUCACAGGAUAAAAUUUAGUGAUCAUACAAGAUACGAUGAAAUAAAUGGUGUGGUAGAUAUAAUUAACUAGACAUGACAUGAUUUAUUCAUGUUUGCAGGAGUGGUGAACGUAAGUUUAGAUGAAGAAAAGAAAUUACUGACAGUGAUUGGAGAGGGAAUAGAUGCAGUGGAGCUGGUUAAUAUAAUUAGGAAAAAAGUGGGAUUUGCUAAUAUAGUGAACCAAGGUCCAGUGCCAGUUGAGAAAAAAGAAGAAAAAGAAAAGAUAAAAGUUGAUCCACCAGUGGUUAAUUCAUGUAAUUGUCAUAGUAAUUAUAAUAAUAGGGUAAUUCCAAGCUGGGUUGAAAUGUACGAAGUUCCUUAUAAUAACCACUCAUGUUUUCCAUUUUGAUGAUGAGACUUCUUUGAGGAAAAAUAAGAAGAAUUAUAGUAUUCUUUUUGUUUCAUUUCAUGUAAUACAAUAUUAUUAUUUGGAGAGUUAAACACAUUUUCUGUU
Molecule: long non-coding RNA, 16897 nt
Filed under: Solanum tuberosum (potato)
Lineage: Eukaryota; Viridiplantae; Streptophyta; Magnoliopsida; Solanales; Solanaceae
Description: long non-coding RNA (STUB_LNC007708)
Source: RNAcentral